GGCGGGGACUGCUGGCCACCACCGUUCUGACUCCCGCCGUCGGGGCGGGAGCUCGCUCGGUCCAAGGUCCCAGAGCCGGAUCGCCGCCCUUGGACUUUGAGCGGGCGCGUGCGGCGGCCACGUGGGCGAGGAGCGCGGGCCGGGCUGCCUCUCGGGGGUGGCGGCCUUGGUUCCUCCCGCGGGGCUGGGCUUGCCGGGGCCCGGAGCCCGCCGGGAAGAGUUCGGAAAUCACACGUGUCCUUUUUCCCGCUCUGUGCCCUCCUUGUUUAGUGCGUUGCCGGUGGGCGCUUUAGGAAAUUGGUAGGAGGAAAAGCGGCUUCUUUUGAAAAGGUAACCCUUAACAGAGAUGAAAGUGAAAGCCAGGUUUCAUUGGGAAGCCGAUCUGCACCUACCGAGGGCUGUAACUUAAAGCCGCUGUAAACGUGGUAGCUGAUCCUUGUAUGCAAAGGUUUAGGCCCUAAGCUUAGAAACUGUUCCUUGCUUGCCUUCUACCCCGCUCCUCUUUUUCUAGAAUUCUCUUAGGAAUCUCUGGCUUCAUUGAGGACACAGGUGUAAGCAGAAGCUGUGUUCUCAGCUCCAAGAGGCCGACCCCACGAAAGCCUAAGCAGGUGAAUUUCGUAAAGACGUUGACAGUUGGAAAACCUGUGCUUUCAGCACGUGAUAAAUCUGCAGAGUCAGCAGACAAUGAAGAUUUGGCAUUCAAGAACUCCUCAAAUACUUCUCGAUAGUAGCUAUUCAGAGCCUGCCUUGAUAGACCGAACUUGCUCAUAUUUAAAUCAUUAAGAUAGAGGAAAGAAUGUAACAACUUUUUAAAAUGUUUCUUACCCCAUAAAUACUUGAAGAAGAUAUGUUAUAUUGGACCAUGGAUCUUUCUGGGGGGGAGGGGAGAAGAAAGCAAAAGUAAAGUUUAAAUUUACAUUCAACCUUAAUUUGAUUGUAUAUAUUUGUGACCAAAUGAAUUAGUGCACAGUUGACCAUACAACUGAUUAUGCAACAGUGAGUGUAACUGACUUUUCUUUUGGCUAAGCUAAUGAUGACUAAAGAAGGUCCUUCUGUUGCUCUGUCUUCAAGUCAUCAGGGGGUCAUACUACCUAUAUUUUUGAACCAAUAUGAAAUAACCCUUUUUCUUUAUUUUUCUGAGACAAUCUCACCCUGUCGUCCAGGCUGGAGUGCAGCGGUGUAAUCAUGCCUCACUGCAGCCUUGAUCUCCUGGGCUCAAGCCAUCCUCCCACCUCAGUCUCCCCAGUAGCAGGGACAAGAGGUACAGGC
RNAcentral lists this long non-coding RNA (1269 nucleotides) under Homo sapiens (human). RNAcentral describes it as "non-protein coding lnc-FAM208B-5:2". Lineage: Eukaryota; Metazoa; Chordata; Mammalia; Primates; Hominidae. The record is from RNAcentral.